RNAcentral lists this microRNA (22 nucleotides) under Petromyzon marinus (sea lamprey). Its description in RNAcentral is "pma-miR-4615". Lineage: Eukaryota; Metazoa; Chordata; Hyperoartia; Petromyzontiformes; Petromyzontidae. The record is from miRBase by way of RNAcentral.
GAUUGUUCGUAAGUAAAGGAGU